RNAcentral lists this ribosomal RNA (460 nucleotides) under uncultured bacterium. Its description in RNAcentral is "partial 16S ribosomal RNA". It matches the Rfam family "Bacterial small subunit ribosomal RNA", at positions 338 to 795 of the family's 1533-position model. The record is from RNAcentral.
CCUACGGGAGGCAGCAGUGAGGAAUAUUGGACAAUGGACGCAAGCCUGAACCAGCGACGCCGCGUGCAGGAAGACGGCUCUAGGAGUUGUAAACUGCUUUUGUACGGGGGUAAACGAAGAUACGUGUAUCUGUCUGAAAGUAUCGUACGAAUAAGGAUCGGCUAACUCCGUGCCAGCAGCCGCGGUAAUACGGAGGAUUUAAGCGUUAUCCGGAUUUAUUGGGUUUAAAGGGUGCGUAGGCGGUAGGAGAAGUUAGAGGUGAAAUCCCGGGGCUCAACUUCGGAAUUGCUUCUGAUACUGUUCGGCUAGAGAGUAGUUGCGGUAGGCGGAAUGUAUGGUGUAGCGGUGAAAUGCUUAGAGAUCAUGCAGAACACCGAUUGCGAAGGCAGCUUACCAGGCUACUUCUGACGUUGAGGCACGAAAGCGUGGGGAGCAAACAGGAUUAGAUACCCUUGUAGUC